GAUGAACGCUGGCGGCGUGCCUAAUACAUGCAAGUCGAGCGAACAGACGAGGAGCUUGCUCCUCUGACGUUAUCGGCGGACGGGUGAGUAACACGUGGAUAACCUACCUAUAAGACUGGGAUAACUUCGGGAAACCGGAGCUAAUACCGGAUAAUAUAUUGAACCGCAUGGUUCAAUAGUUAAAGACGGUUUUGCUGUCACUUAUAGAUUGAUCCGCGCCGAAUUAGCUAGUUGGUAAGGUAACGGCUUACCAAGGCGACGAUGCGUAGCCGACCUGAAGGGGACAACGGAAAGAUGGGAAGAGAGGAAGGGACGAGACACUGGGGGGGAGACACAGUAGGGAAUCUUACGCAAUGGAGGAAAGCGUAACAGAGGAAAGCGGGGGAAAGGAUGAAGGAGUUAGGAUGGGAGAACGAUGUAGUAAGGAAAGAAGAAAUGUGUAAGUAACUGGGAAGGUAAUGACGGUACCGGAUCAAAAAGCCACGGCUAACUACGUG
This 497-nucleotide ribosomal RNA is filed under the name uncultured bacterium. RNAcentral describes it as "partial 16S ribosomal RNA". It matches the Rfam family "Bacterial small subunit ribosomal RNA", at positions 28 to 507 of the family's 1533-position model. The record is from RNAcentral.